AAGUCGUAACAAGGUUUCCGUAGGUGAACCUGCGGAAGGAUCAUUAAUGAAUUAUAAGGGUGCUCCCUCUCAUCAGAGAGGCCCGAACUCUUCAUUCUUCUACACUGUGCACCAUAUCUACAUUCUUGAAGAAGAAUUAAGCUUUGCUUGAUUUUUUCUCAAGGUGUAACCAUUUUUUUAAACUCUACAAAAAGUCUAAGAAUGAAUACAAAACCAAAAAAUAUAAAAAAA
This 231-nucleotide unclassified non-coding RNA is filed under the name plant metagenome. RNAcentral's name for it is "partial contains small subunit ribosomal RNA and internal transcribed spacer 1". The stretch from base 1 to 46 matches the Rfam family "Eukaryotic small subunit ribosomal RNA", at positions 1786 to 1831 of the family's 1831-position model. The record is from RNAcentral.